GUAGGUAGCAAGCGUUGUCCGGAAUUAUUGGGCGUAAAGCGCGCGCAGGUGGUUCUUUAAGUCUGAUGUGAAAGCCCCCGGCUCAACCGGGGAGGGUCAUUGGAAACUGGGGAACUUGAGUGCAGGAGAGGAAAGUGGAAUUCCACGUGUAGCGGUGAAAUGUGUAGAUAUGUGGAGGAACACCAGUGGCGAAGGCGACUUUCUGGCCUGUAACUGACACUGAGGCGCGAAAGCGUGGGGAGCAAACAGGGAUUAGAUACCCUGGUAGUCCACGCCGUAAACGAUGAGUGCUAAGUGUUGGGAGGUUUCCGCCCCCUCAGUGCUGCAGCUAACGCAUUAAGCACUCCGCCUGGGAGUACGGUCGCAAGACUG
This 372-nucleotide ribosomal RNA is filed under the name uncultured organism. RNAcentral describes it as "partial 16S ribosomal RNA". It matches the Rfam family "Bacterial small subunit ribosomal RNA", at positions 527 to 896 of the family's 1533-position model. The record is from RNAcentral.